This 84-nucleotide transfer RNA is filed under the name Eggerthellaceae bacterium. RNAcentral describes it as "tRNA-Leu". It matches the Rfam family "tRNA". From Rfam's summary of the family: Transfer RNA (tRNA) molecules are approximately 80 nucleotides in length. Their secondary structure includes four short double-helical elements and three loops (D, anti-codon, and T loops). RNAcentral also lists the same sequence under 1 other name. The record is from RNAcentral. Lineage: Bacteria; Bacillati; Actinomycetota; Coriobacteriia; Eggerthellales; Eggerthellaceae.
GGGGGCGUGGUGGAAUGGCAGACACCGAGGUCUUAAAAACCUCUACCGAAAGGUGUGCGGGUUCGAAUCCCGCCGCCCCUACCA